UACGAGGGGGGCAAGCGUUGUUCGGAAUUAUUGGGCGUAAAGGGUGCGUAGGCGGUCUGACAAGUCUGAUGUGAAAUCUAUGGGCUCAACCCGUAGUCUGCAUCGGAAACUGUCGGGCUUGAGUAUGGGAGAGGUGAGUGGAAUUUCCGGUGUAGCGGUGAAAUUCGUAGAUAUUCGCAAGAACACCAGUGGCGAAGGCGGCUCACUGGCCCGGUACUGACGCUGAGGUGCGAAAGCGUGGGGAGCAAACAGG
This 253-nucleotide ribosomal RNA is filed under the name uncultured bacterium. RNAcentral's name for it is "partial 16S ribosomal RNA". It matches the Rfam family "Bacterial small subunit ribosomal RNA", at positions 524 to 776 of the family's 1533-position model. The record is from RNAcentral.